UACGUAGGGCGCAAGCGUUAUCCGGAAUUAUUGGGCGUAAAGAGCUCGUAGGCGGUUUGUCGCGUCUGCCGUGAAAGUCCGGGGCUCAACUCCGGAUCUGCGGUGGGUACGGGCAGACUAGAGUGAUGUAGGGGGAGACUGGAAUUCCUGGUGUAGCGGUGAAAUGCGCAGAUAUCAGGAGGAACACCGGUGGCGAAGGCGGGGUCUCUGGGCAACAACUGACGCUGAGGAGCGAAAGCGUGGGGGAGCGAACAGG
Molecule: ribosomal RNA, 256 nt
Filed under: uncultured bacterium
Lineage: Bacteria
Description: partial 16S ribosomal RNA
Rfam family: Bacterial small subunit ribosomal RNA
Source: RNAcentral